Molecule: long non-coding RNA, 1597 nt
Organism: Phyllostomus discolor (pale spear-nosed bat)
Lineage: Eukaryota; Metazoa; Chordata; Mammalia; Chiroptera; Phyllostomidae
Exons: 3
Source: RefSeq, a predicted model, not a curated record
GCCGGUCCCGUGCCGGGGGAAGCCUCUCGGCGGGGGCGGGCUGCGGCGAGUGGAACAGGGACUCGCGCCGGCGCGUGUGCGGGCUUUCCGGCAGGAAGGCCCAGCCUUCGCGGCCCGCCAGCCACAUGCGCUGGAUGGGGGUAAUGAAAGUGCGAGCUCCGAGAGGCCCGAAGGUGCCAAAUGCGGGGUCUCUGUGGCGGUCUGGGGAGUUGGCUGGACGAGGAGAGAAGAGGAGAGGAGUCCGAGGCGGAGCCUGGGAAGCACAGGCCACUGCUGACAAUGUGAGGCCCACGUCAACUGCAGGCCAGGCAUACCCACCAUCCUUUAGUCUCUCAAAGGCAUCAAGCUCAUUUCUUUCUUAGGACCCUCUCCCCUCCCCGGACCACUACCCCUUCAUCCUUAAGGCCUGGAGGCACUCUCUGACACCCAGCACUCCAUACUUUUCCUUUACGGCAUCAAUCACAUUUUUUCCCUGUGAUUUAUGUAUGCGAUUAUUCAAUGUCUUACUAGACUGUACACAUCAUGAGGACAGUGCUUAGAACAGGGCAGGUGUUCAAUCAGGAUUGUUAAAUGAACUAAUGAUAUUAAGCAGAAUUGUACUUGAGUCACUUCUUUCCUCCAUUGUGCUAGGUGCUGGGGAGACAUAGGAUGGAGAGGAGUCUAAGGGGAGAGACAGACAAUAAAUGUGCAAAGAGCAACAACAAAAGAUUGUGAAAUGCAGGAAAUAAACAAGAUGAUUAUUUUGACCUGUGAUAUUUGAGGGUUUUGAGGGAACAAGCAUUUCUUAUGUGGACAUUCAAAGCCACCCCCCAGCCCCCGCAUUCCCGUGGCUCCUGACUCAGCUCGGCCCUGGGCCUGGUGGCAUGUCUGGGGCGGGUGGUCUUCGCGUCAUGCUGCAGCCAAGAACUGACGGCUUUGGCAUUAGUCAGUCUGGGACCUGGGCUCUGUGACACACUAGCUGUGCUGUGUGACCUCUGAUAGGUACCUUCAUCUCUCUGGGAUCCACCUUACCCAUCUGGAAAAUAGAGAAAAUAUACCUAACUCUCAGAGCAGGCAUGAGGAUUGCAUGAAAUCACACGGGCACCAGUGAGGUUGACUUCCGGCAAAGUACAAGAACACAGAAACCCCAACUCAGUCUGCUCUGACAAUAAGGACACUUUUGGCUUCUAUAAUAAGAAGUCCAGCGAUAGGGUAGAAUUCAGGGGAGCUUGAUUCUGUGCCUUUAUUCAUUCAUUUAUUCAUCCAUAGUUCUUUACUACCUUCUCUGGCAGGCACUGUGCCAGAAUCUGGGGACACAACAGUGAGAAAACAGAUAAAUCUCCUGGCCAGAUGGAGUUUAUACUUCAGUGGGGAAAGAAAGACAAUAGACCAAGAUAAAUUAGUAAAAAUAGUGUAUUGGAUGGAAGUCAGUGUUGGGGAGAAAAAUUAAAGUAGGGAAGGCUCCCAGACAGUAUCAGGAGAGUAUGCAAUUUUCAAUAGAGUGGUCAGGGUGGCCACUUGGGGAACCCUGCGAAGGAGGGAGGGAGGACAUGAAGGAGCCAGGGAGGAUAUGUGAGGCUAGAGCAUUCUAUGAAGAAAAGUUGCAGAUGCAAAGCAC